This 279-nucleotide ribosomal RNA is filed under the name uncultured bacterium. RNAcentral describes it as "partial 16S ribosomal RNA". It matches the Rfam family "Bacterial small subunit ribosomal RNA", at positions 506 to 784 of the family's 1533-position model. The record is from RNAcentral.
UGCCAGCAGCCGCGGUAACACGGGGGGCGCAAGCGUUAUUCGGAAUUAUUGGGCAUAAAGCGCACGUAGGCGGACUAUUAAGUCAGGGGUGAAAUCCCGGGGCUCAACCCCGGAACUGCCUCUGAUACUGGUAGUCUUGAGUUCGAGAGAGGUGAGUGGAAUUCCGAGUGUAGAGGUGAGAUUCGUAGAUAUUCGGAGGAACACCAGUGGCGAAGGCGGCUCACUGGCUCGAUACUGACGCUGAGGUGCGAAAGCGUGGGGAGCAAACAGGAUUAGAUA